UACGUGGGGGGCAAGCGUUGUUCGGAAUUAUUGGGCGUAAAGGGCGCGUAGGCGGCUCGUUAUGUCACCAGUGAAAUCUCCGGGCUCAACUCGGAGCCUGCUGGCGAAACUGCCGUGCUGGAGUAUGGGAGGGGUGCGUGGAAUUCCCGGUGUAGAGGUGAAAUGCGUAGAUAUCGGGAGGAACACCGGUGGCGAAAGCGGCGCACUGGACCAUAACUGACGCUGAGGCGCGAAAGCUAGGGGAGCAAACAGG
Molecule: ribosomal RNA, 253 nt
Filed under: uncultured bacterium
Lineage: Bacteria
Description: partial 16S ribosomal RNA
Rfam family: Bacterial small subunit ribosomal RNA
Source: RNAcentral